Molecule: unclassified non-coding RNA, 439 nt
Filed under: plant metagenome
Description: partial contains 5.8S ribosomal RNA, internal transcribed spacer 2, and large subunit ribosomal RNA
Rfam family: 5.8S ribosomal RNA (bases 1-105)
Source: RNAcentral
AAGCUGCGAUACGUAAUGUGAAUUGCAGAAAUCAGUGAAUCAUCGAGUCUUUGAACGCAACUUGCGCUCUUGGGUAUUCCCAGGAGCAUGCCUGCUUGAGUGUCAUUACAACUCUCCUUUUUCUUUUUUUUCUUCGGAGGAAAAACAAAGAGGGCUCUGAGCUGAGACAGAUCUUGGCAUCUGUGCAGCUUCAAGUUUGUUGGUGAGGGAGCAAAAGGCAACUUUUGUUUUCUUCCUAUUACCACCUGAUGUGGCAACUUUUCUCUUCGGAGAGAACGAAGCAUCUUGUGAGGGAAAGAAAAGAAAGGGUCUUCUUUUUUGUUCUAAUUCCAAACUCACUCGUAAUGAACCGUGCGUGCGUGGGGUCACACCUCACACACACACACACACACUCAACAUGUGACCUCAGGUCAGGCAAGACUACCCGCUGAACUUAAGC